RNAcentral lists this ribosomal RNA (489 nucleotides) under uncultured bacterium. Its description in RNAcentral is "partial 16S ribosomal RNA". It matches the Rfam family "Bacterial small subunit ribosomal RNA", at positions 30 to 507 of the family's 1533-position model. The record is from RNAcentral.
UUGAACGCUGGCGGCAGGCCUAACACAUGCAAGUCGAACGGUAACAGGAAGCAGCUUGCUGCUUUGCUGACGCGUGGCGGACGGGUGAGUAAUGUCUGGGAAACUGCCUGAUGGAGGGGGAUAACUACUGGAAACGGUAGCUAAUACCGCAUAAUGUCGCAAGACCAAAGAGGGGGACCUUCGGGCCUCUUGCCAUCGGAUGUGCCCAGAUGGGAUUAGCUAGUAGGUGGGGUAAAGGCUCACCUAGGCGACGAUCCCUAGCUGGUCUGAGAGGAUGACCAGCCACACUGGAACUGAGACACGGUCCAGACUCCUACGGGAGGCAGCAGUGGGGAAUAUUGCACAAUGGGCGCAAGCCUGAUGCAGCCAUGCCGCGUGUAUGAAGAAGGCCUUCGGGUUGUAAAGUACUUUCAGCGGGGAGGAAGGGAGUAAAGUUAAUACCUUUGCUCAUUGACGUUACCCGCAGAAGAAGCACCGGCUAACUCCGUG